CUACGGGCCGCUGCAGUGGGGAAUAUUGGACAAUGGGGGAAACCCUGAUCCAGCAAUGCCGCGUGUGUGAAGAAGGCCUGCGGGCUGUAAAGCACUUUCGGUUGGGAGGACUGCUUCUAGCACUAAUAUUGUUGGAAGUUGACGUUACCUUCAGAAGAAGCACCGGCUAACUCCGUGCCAGCAGCCGCGGUAAUACGGAGGUUGCAAGCGUUAAUCGGAAUUACUGGGCGUAAAGCGCGCGUAGGCGGCUAGAUCAGUCGGGUGUGAAAGCCCCGGGCUUAACCUGGGAACUGCAUCCGAUACUGUCUAGCUUGAGUACAGGAGAGGAGAGUGGAAUUCCACAUGUAGCGGUGAAAUGCGUAGAUAUGUGGAGGAACACCAAUGGCGAAGGCAGCUCUCUGGCCUGAUACUGACGCUGAGGUGCGAAAGCGUGGGGAGCAAACAGGAUUAGAUACCCGGGUAGUC
RNAcentral lists this ribosomal RNA (465 nucleotides) under uncultured bacterium. Its description in RNAcentral is "partial 16S ribosomal RNA". It matches the Rfam family "Bacterial small subunit ribosomal RNA", at positions 339 to 795 of the family's 1533-position model. The record is from RNAcentral.